UGCAAGUCGAGUGGGUUUAGGCCCACGGCAAACGGGUGAGUAAUAUCUAGGAACGUACCUCUAGUUGAGCAUAACCUACCGAAAGGUAGAGCAAUUCUCAAUGUGACCGCAAGGUUAAAGUCGCAAGACGCUAGAGAAGCGGCCUGGACACCAUCAGCUAGUUGGUAAGGUAAAGGCUUACCAAGGCUUUGACGGUUAGGGGUCCCGAGAGGGAAAACCCCCACACUGGAACUGAGACACGGUCCAG
Molecule: ribosomal RNA, 247 nt
Filed under: uncultured bacterium
Lineage: Bacteria
Description: partial 16S ribosomal RNA
Rfam family: Bacterial small subunit ribosomal RNA
Source: RNAcentral